RNAcentral lists this ribosomal RNA (1977 nucleotides) under Pseudomonas aeruginosa. RNAcentral describes it as "bacterial LSU rRNA". It matches the Rfam family "Bacterial large subunit ribosomal RNA", at positions 3 to 2018 of the family's 2925-position model. The record is from RNAcentral. Lineage: Bacteria; Pseudomonadati; Pseudomonadota; Gammaproteobacteria; Pseudomonadales; Pseudomonadaceae.
UCAAGUGAAGAAGCGCAUACGGUGGAUGCCUUGGCAGUCAGAGGCGAUGAAAGACGUGGUAGCCUGCGAAAAGCUUCGGGGAGUCGGCAAACAGACUUUGAUCCGGAGAUCUCUGAAUGGGGGAACCCACCUAGGAUAACCUAGGUAUCUUGUACUGAAUCCAUAGGUGCAAGAGGCGAACCAGGGGAACUGAAACAUCUAAGUACCCUGAGGAAAAGAAAUCAACCGAGAUUCCCUUAGUAGUGGCGAGCGAACGGGGAUUAGCCCUUAAGCUUCAUUGAUUUUAGCGGAACGCUCUGGAAAGUGCGGCCAUAGUGGGUGAUAGCCCCGUACGCGAAAGGAUCUUUGAAGUGAAAUCGAGUAGGACGGAGCACGAGAAACUUUGUCUGAACAUGGGGGGACCAUCCUCCAAGGCUAAAUACUACUGACUGACCGAUAGUGAACCAGUACCGUGAGGGAAAGGCGAAAAGAACCCCGGAGAGGGGAGUGAAAUAGAACCUGAAACCGUAUGCGUACAAGCAGUGGGAGCCUACUUGUUAGGUGACUGCGUACCUUUUGUAUAAUGGGUCAGCGACUUAUAUUCAGUGGCAAGCUUAACCGUAUAGGGUAGGCGUAGCGAAAGCGAGUCUUAAUAGGGCGUUUAGUCGCUGGGUAUAGACCCGAAACCGGGCGAUCUAUCCAUGAGCAGGUUGAAGGUUAGGUAACACUGACUGGAGGACCGAACCCACUCCCGUUGAAAAGGUAGGGGAUGACUUGUGGAUCGGAGUGAAAGGCUAAUCAAGCUCGGAGAUAGCUGGUUCUCCUCGAAAGCUAUUUAGGUAGCGCCUCAUGUAUCACUCUGGGGGGUAGAGCACUGUUUCGGCUAGGGGGUCAUCCCGACUUACCAAACCGAUGCAAACUCCGAAUACCCAGAAGUGCCGAGCAUGGGAGACACACGGCGGGUGCUAACGUCCGUCGUGAAAAGGGAAACAACCCAGACCGCCAGCUAAGGUCCCAAAGUUGUGGUUAAGUGGUAAACGAUGUGGGAAGGCUUAGACAGCUAGGAGGUUGGCUUAGAAGCAGCCACCCUUUAAAGAAAGCGUAAUAGCUCACUAGUCGAGUCGGCCUGCGCGGAAGAUGUAACGGGGCUCAAACCACACACCGAAGCUGCGGGUGUCACGUAAGUGACGCGGUAGAGGAGCGUUCUGUAAGCCUGUGAAGGUGAGUUGAGAAGCUUGCUGGAGGUAUCAGAAGUGCGAAUGCUGACAUGAGUAACGACAAUGGGUGUGAAAAACACCCACGCCGAAAGACCAAGGGUUCCUGCGCAACGUUAAUCGACGCAGGGUUAGUCGGUUCCUAAGGCGAGGCUGAAAAGCGUAGUCGAUGGGAAACAGGUUAAUAUUCCUGUACUUCUGGUUACUGCGAUGGAGGGACGGAGAAGGCUAGGCCAGCUUGGCGUUGGUUGUCCAAGUUUAAGGUGGUAGGCUGAAAUCUUAGGUAAAUCCGGGGUUUCAAGGCCGAGAGCUGAUGACGAGUCGUCUUUUAGAUGACGAAGUGGUUGAUGCCAUGCUUCCAAGAAAAGCUUCUAAGCUUCAGGUAACCAGGAACCGUACCCCAAACCGACACAGGUGGUCGGGUAGAGAAUACCAAGGCGCUUGAGAGAACUCGGGUGAAGGAACUAGGCAAAAUGGCACCGUAACUUCGGGAGAAGGUGCGCCGGCUAGGGUGAAGGAUUUACUCCGUAAGCUCUGGCUGGUCGAAGAUACCAGGCCGCUGCGACUGUUUAUUAAAAACACAGCACUCUGCAAACACGAAAGUGGACGUAUAGGGUGUGACGCCUGCCCGGUGCCGGAAGGUUAAUUGAUGGGGUUAGCGCAAGCGAAGCUCUUGAUCGAAGCCCCGGUAAACGGCGGCCGUAACUAUAACGGUCCUAAGGUAGCGAAAUUCCUUGUCGGGUAAGUUCCGACCUGCACGAAUGGCGUAACGAUGGCGGCGCUG